UACGGAGGGUGCAAGCGUUGUUCGGAAUUACUGGGCGUAAAGCGUGUCUAGGUGGAAAUAUAAGUCAGGUGUGAAAGACCUUGGCUCAACCAAGGAAUUGCGCCUGAAACUGUGUUUCUCGAACAAGGAAGAGGUGGGUAGAAUACCUAGUGUAGCAGUGAAAUGCGUAGAUAUUAGGUAGAACACCAGAGGCGAAGGCGGCCCACUGGUCCUUUGUUGACACUAAAGCACGAAAGCGUGGGGAGCAAACAGG
Molecule: ribosomal RNA, 253 nt
Filed under: uncultured bacterium
Lineage: Bacteria
Description: partial 16S ribosomal RNA
Rfam family: Bacterial small subunit ribosomal RNA
Source: RNAcentral